Long non-coding RNA from Syngnathus acus (greater pipefish), 1700 nucleotides. RefSeq lists it as uncharacterized. NCBI's taxonomy places the organism in Eukaryota, Metazoa, Chordata, Actinopteri, Syngnathiformes, Syngnathidae. The transcript has 3 exons. The record is from RefSeq and is a predicted model, not a curated record.
UAACCCAAGAAAUAUUGUAUAAAAGAAAUGUUUUGCAGACAAUUCCUCUGAUAUUCUUAACCGCCCCCCCAAAGAAAAAAUCCUAACUCCGCCAGUGGUCACAUGUUCUUACUGUUUGGACAACACAUUACUUCCACAAGGUAUGUUCGACUUGCAUGUUACUAUAGUAUAGCAAUAUGUCCUUUCUACCUCUUUACACGUUCACGCUUUUGCAUUUUCUGCAAUCUACAUUGUUGCCAUGAGAUGUGUUAAAAGACUCUUGAAUCAUCUUUCCUCAUUGAAAUGAAUGGACAUGUCAUCAAUCCGUCCCAGAAUUAUAGUUCAUGAAACUCUGAUGUGUUAAACUCAAAAUAAAAUAAAAAUAUAUCAGCUGAAAUACUUGAAAGUGUUGUAAGUCAGUUCACGUAUAUCUCAAGGCACCAAUGUACAUUUUCAAUAUGUAAUCCACACACGCUUUGCACCCUUCAUAUGAUACCCUUCAGCUCCAGAUUGUCUCUAUAAAUGUGUUCCCGUCCACGAGACAAUAUGUCCUCACUAUAUGUCCUCAUGAAUCACUUCAUCACAUGUCCUCUUUCUGUAUUUUCCACACAAAGUGUCCUCAUGCGUGUCCUCCUCACUGCAUGUCCUCCACACUUGAGUCCAGUCUAGCCUGAGGCUAAACAUGAAAGUCAGUCUGGGAGAGGCGCUGAUGACAUAGUGGGCCAACAAGUGAUUUAAUUAAUAGUGAAACUCACUGGGCUGUCUUCGAGCUUCCAGGGCACGAAGAUGAUUGCCUCCCUGCGAUGUUAAAUAUUAAUCUCAUUAGAUCUCUGCUGGAGAAAGUGAAGGAAACCGACGUGUGCUUUUCAGACUGCGUAUGUGAAGCCACUUUUUGUGAUGUUUGUUUUUUUGGCGGGGGGGAGACGUGCGACCCCUGCGCGCACCGGGGCCAUCUGGGACUGACCUCACACUCUCCCGUGAACGUGUCACAACGUGUUUGUGGAGACCAAAUUAAAAAUGUGCAGUCUCCAAAGAGACCGUCUUUUCUAUCUCGCCUGCACAAAUAGAGUGCGACUCCUUAAGAUUUUCUGCUUUGCAAGUCAACAUCUCGAUGCAAACACAUUGUGGUUGCUCUGAGCUUUAAAUGUUACACCACAACCUAGUUUGCUCCUAGAAUAAUGAUUUCUCCACUGCAUCAGCCUUGCUGGGUGGACUCUGCAGUCGGGCUCGCUUUUGUCUAAGUGAUCAUUUCAGCACCUCGUGGAGUAACAGAUCAAUGAAGUGGGCGUCGAUUGCGCUGCGGGUCGAGGGUGAAAUGUGACUUCGGAGGAGUCUGCAGGAGCUUAGGCGGCUCUCGUGUGCAGCACCACGGACAGCGGCGCAGCCAGACGCGCCUCUUUCUCUCAACUUAGCCCGCCUUCCUUCUUUCCACCUUUUCAUUCGCUCCGCACGUUCGAGAGCGCUCCGGACGAUGUGCGCCGGAUCUGCGCUGCACGUCCAGCCCGCUGGAAGCUGAGGAAGCCCGCACAGGCUGUAAUCUCAAAAAGCACAGAGGAGGAGACUGAGCAAGUGGAUCCCACCGAUGCUUUCAAUGGCCUCAGUCAGAAUAAAAACACUGGUGCUGCUGUGAGAUCUGGUGCCGUUGUGCCUCGCUGUGUUCUUCUUCAGAGGCUGCCACAUCCAAAGCAGAUCAAACGCUGACCCCCGCCCAAAAAAAAAAA